UGGCGGACGGGUGAGUAACGCGUGGGUAACCUACCCUGUACAGGGGGAUAACAGUCAGAAAUGACUGCUAAUACCGCAUAAGACCACAGCACCGCAUGGUGCAGGGGUAAAAACUCCGGUGGUAUGAGAUGGACCCGCGUCUGAUUAGCUAGUUGGUGGGGUAACGGCCUACCAAGGCGACGAUCAGUAGCCGACCUGAGAGGGUGACCGGCCACAUUGGGACUGAGACACGGCCCAA
This 238-nucleotide ribosomal RNA is filed under the name uncultured bacterium. RNAcentral's name for it is "partial 16S ribosomal RNA". It matches the Rfam family "Bacterial small subunit ribosomal RNA", at positions 96 to 334 of the family's 1533-position model. The record is from RNAcentral.